This 497-nucleotide ribosomal RNA is filed under the name uncultured bacterium. RNAcentral describes it as "partial 16S ribosomal RNA". It matches the Rfam family "Bacterial small subunit ribosomal RNA", at positions 28 to 507 of the family's 1533-position model. The record is from RNAcentral.
GACGAACGCUGGCGGCGUGCCUAAUACAUGCAAGUUGAGCGCCGAAGGUUGGUACUUGUACCAACUGGAUGAGCAGCGCACGGGUGAGUAACGCGUGGGGAAUCUGCCUUUGAGCGGGGGACAACAUUUGGAAACGAAUGCUAAUACCGCAUAAAAACUUUAAACACAAGUUUUAAGUUUGAAAGAUGCAAUUGCAUCACUCAAAGAUGAUCCCGCGUUGUAUUAGCUAGUUGGUGAGGUAAAGGCUCACCAAGGCGAUGAUACAUAGCCGACCUGAGAGGGUGAUCGGCCACAUUGGGACUGAGACACGGCCCAAACUCCUACGGGAGGCAGCAGUAGGGAAUCGUCGGCAAGGGACGAAAGUCUGACCGAGCAACGCCGCGUGAGUGAAGAAGGUUGUCGGAUCGUAAAACUCUGUUGGUAGAGAAGAACGUUGGUGAGAGUGGAAAGCUCAUCAAGUGACGGUAACUACCCAGAAAGGGACGGCUAACUACGUG